AUAGCUGGAAAUACAGAAACAAAGGAAUUGUCCUGUUGGUGGAAGCCAGUGGUUUAUUUCUUCACUAUCCUGUCUCUAGCAAUGUCUGAUGAUACCCGAUGUGCAAGAAUACUGCGUAAAGAUCAUUAUGGGAUCUGAUGAAGAAGCAGAACGUAGGAAAAAACCCACCACUGAAUAAGGACCACUGAAUAAUAAUACGAAGUCCUCUGUAACAAUGCAGAAAGUGCAAAUUUCACAGAUGAAUAGCUAAAUACUCACGUGGCUGUAAUGAAGAUUGUUUCUGCAGACCAGAAACAAAGGAAAUGCCUCAGAUGAAAAAUUAGCAGCAAUCAUAUUGAUUUGGAAGGACUUCUUUGGAUUUUGCUGGACUUUUUGAAGGGCUCUUGGCUGGAGUCUUCUCAGGAGUCUUGGCUGCAGGUGUUUCUGCAGUCUUGUCCGCUUUCUCAAAGCAAGUGUCCAAGGAAGUUUCGGCAGAUGUUCUCCAGGAAGAUGGGUGAACUUCUUCGCUGGCAUGGUGUUGCAUCAGAU
Alligator sinensis (Chinese alligator) is the source of this 528-nucleotide long non-coding RNA. RefSeq lists it as uncharacterized. The record is from RefSeq and is a predicted model, not a curated record. The transcript has 4 exons. NCBI's taxonomy places the organism in Eukaryota, Metazoa, Chordata, Crocodylia, Alligatoridae.